AUUGAACGCUGGCGGCAGGCCUAACACAUGCAAGUCGAGCGGAUGAAGGGAGCUUGCUCCUGGAUUCAGCGGCGGACGGGUGAGUAAUGCCUAGGAAUCUGCCUGGUAGUGGGGGAUAACGUCCGGAAACGGGCGCUAAUACCGCAUACGUCCUGAGGGAGAAAGUGGGGGAUCUUCGGACCUCACGCUAUCAGAUGAGCCUAGGUCGGAUUAGCUAGUUGGUGGGGUAAAGGCCUACCAAGGCGACGAUCCGUAACUGGUCUGAGAGGAUGAUCAGUCACACUGGAACUGAGACACGGUCCAGAGUCCUACGGGAGGCAGCAGUGGGGAAUAUUGGACAAUGGGCGAAAGCCUGAUCCAGCCAUGCCGCGUGUGUGAAGAAGGUCUUCGGAUUGUAAGGCACUUUAAGUUGGGAGGAAGGGCAGUAAGUUAAUACCUUGCUGUUUUGACGUUACCAACAGAAUAAGCACCGGCUAACUUCGUG
RNAcentral lists this ribosomal RNA (484 nucleotides) under uncultured bacterium. RNAcentral describes it as "partial 16S ribosomal RNA". It matches the Rfam family "Bacterial small subunit ribosomal RNA", at positions 30 to 507 of the family's 1533-position model. The record is from RNAcentral.